ACGCUCGACACCUACGGGAGGCAGCAGGUGGGGAAUAUUGCACAAUGGGGGAAACCCUGAUGCAGCGACGCCGCGUGAGUGAAGAAGUAUUUCGGUAUGUAAAGCUCUAUCAGCAGGGAAGAGAAUGACGGUACCUGACUAAGAAGCCCCGGCUAACUACGCGCCAGCACGCCGGACGGUAAUCUGGAGGCGGGCUGGACGAAGGC
This 206-nucleotide ribosomal RNA is filed under the name uncultured bacterium. Its description in RNAcentral is "partial 16S ribosomal RNA". It matches the Rfam family "Bacterial small subunit ribosomal RNA", at positions 328 to 538 of the family's 1533-position model. The record is from RNAcentral.